RNAcentral lists this ribosomal RNA (372 nucleotides) under Eremias isfahanica. Its description in RNAcentral is "partial 12S ribosomal RNA". It matches the Rfam family "Bacterial small subunit ribosomal RNA", at positions 859 to 1396 of the family's 1533-position model. The record is from RNAcentral. Lineage: Eukaryota; Metazoa; Chordata; Lepidosauria; Squamata; Lacertidae.
ACCCCGUUAUCCGCCAGAAAACUACAAGUGAAAAACUUCAAACUCAAAGGACUUGGCGGUGUCCCAUACCGACCUAGAGGAGCCUGUCCUAUAAUCGAUACCCCCCGUUCUACCCAACCUCCACUAGCACCUUUCACCCUAUAUACCGCCGUCGACAGUCUACCCCAUGAGGGUCUAAUAGUAGACAUAAUAGCUUAACCCGCUAACACGUCAGGUCAAGGUGUAGCACAUGUUGAGGAAAAGAUUGGCUACUUUUUUUAACCUAAAAAAGACAAAAUACAGCAUGAAACACUGCAUGAAGGUGAAUUUAGUAGUAAGUUUGAACAAGAGUGUUCACCUUAACAACGCUCUGGGACGCCCACCCACCGCCCG